GGAACAUCGGAGCAGCCGUGAGCUGUGUGUCCACAGACCUGAGCCUUUCUGGGGCAGAGCUUGGAAAAAGUAACACAACAAACUUCUAACAUUAUAAAUCAGGGAUUUCAACCAAGCAAGCUUGAAGAAACUACCAACUAUCAACAUAUCCCAUAUGGAACCAGAGGAGCAAACACACCUUACCACUAUUACACCACCAUCUAGAACAUUUACCAUGCAUCCCAAGCCUGCAAUUUGGCAAGUCCAAUCACAUGGCUAUUCUACUUCUGGCACACAGGCAAAGUCUGAGGACCACAGCACGAGAAGUGAGGACCAGGUAUGGUUAAGAAUUACUCCACACUUGAUGCACAGAAGACUUAGGCUACAUCCACACUGGACCGGAUAAUUUUGAAAACACUGGUUUCGCAUAAAAACGAUAGGCGUCCACACUAUGCGUUUAAAAAAAUAUCUCUAUCCACACUGAAACGGAGAUUUCGGCGAAUCUCCUCCUGCUGUGCAUGCACAAGACACAUCUACCAAAAACAAACGACAUGUUUGGUGUUGAAUCUCGCCGUAAAAGUGCACGUUUGUGUCGUUACAGUCCAGAAAAAACUUAAAACGACAGACAACUGUUGGCUCUCAUGCGGGAGAACUUCAAACUAAAAAAAAACAAAUACUGGAGCGUACGGAGGCAACCAACAGGGAAUUCACUGUAUGAUCCGGCUGAUGACGAACAUUGAAAAACUGACUAACUGUUGCAUUAAUAAAGCACCUUGUUAAAUGUAUAAAACAUGUCUGCAUCAGUGUUAUCUUGUAUUUCCAUACAAUGUUACAUUAGGCUGUUACACAUCUAUUGUCAGAGAAGUACUUGCAUAAAUAGGUAAACCACCUUCAUACGAGCAAGGACAGAAAACGGCAAAGUGAGUAUAGUAUACUUAUUUAUUCAGUAAGUUAUGGGUCAAAGUAUUUGGUGAGUACAUUUUUAACUCUUCUGGCUUCAGUCUCGUUGCCAUCUGUUCUGAAAUUGUUAGGUUGCGUUCAAGAAAACAAUGAAAUAGCGCGCAGCUGUCUGACAGUGUUUUCAAAAGUCUCCGGUUACUCCGUCCACACUGAUCUGCCCGAGCAGCGUUUUCAAAAAUAUCCACCUUGGAAAGUGUUUCUGAAAAACUCCAGUUUUGGGGGACGAAAACGCCGUUUUAGUGUGGACGGAGGGUAAAAACGAAGAGAAAAAGCUUCGGUUAUGGAUUUAUCCCACGUAGUGUGGAUAUAGCCUUAGAACUUGCCUCAACCUAGUACCCUGGGGAAAACUUGUGGCAAAAAUCGAAAUGGUGGAAUGAAGUAGUCAAACAAG
Molecule: long non-coding RNA, 1330 nt
Organism: Hypanus sabinus (Atlantic stingray)
Lineage: Eukaryota; Metazoa; Chordata; Chondrichthyes; Myliobatiformes; Dasyatidae
Exons: 3
Source: RefSeq, a predicted model, not a curated record